This is a long non-coding RNA of Hemicordylus capensis (graceful crag lizard), 2433 nucleotides long. RefSeq lists it as uncharacterized. Lineage: Eukaryota; Metazoa; Chordata; Lepidosauria; Squamata; Cordylidae. The record is from RefSeq and is a predicted model, not a curated record. The transcript is spliced from 8 exons.
CUGCCUCAGGAUCUCUGAAGAGAAAAACCUUGAGGGAGGAGGGAGGGAAGGGCGAGUUAAACGACGACAUAAAAUGAGAAUAACUGAAAAACGAGAGGACAGACAGAUAAAACAAACAGAAAACUAAAUUAAAGAGGAAGGGUAAGGAGGUUUGCUUGGUUGUUGACGACAGCUCUCCUCACAUGAAGUGAAGCAGAAGGUCUCCUGAAGUCGCUAUUGUGGCGGUCAGAAGAUGACUGAGGGAGGUAAUCUGUGAGGGGCUAUAUGUGUGUCACCAAGGGGGUGAGGCUACUACCAAAAUGCUUACAGCUCACAGCUCUAGAAGGUUCUGAGGUCCUGUCUUCACAGGCACAGACAUCCAAAAUGUGAAGGACAAAGGACCACUAACAAGAAUCCACUUUGUCUAUUACCAUAGCACCAGAGAAAUAGAAAUCUGAGUCACUUCCAGUUCUGUUUUUCCUGUUGCACUGCAACACAUAAACCAACUUCUCUUCUGUUUAAGGAAUUGGUUCAGAAUACAGUUUAGAUAAUAAGCCUACCACCAGUUGAAAGUUUCCUACCUUUGACAACUACUGUUUGAAACCCAAUUUCUCUAGACUAGAAAGACCUUAUUUGCACUUUCACUAAAAAUAAAGUGGAUCUCUCGACAACAUUCAUUUAAGAUUGCUCUUAGUGGGAGAUUGCGUCUCCUUGACUUCAUUGACAGAAACACAAAGCAAGUAAUAUUCAGGUCAUCAUACGAUGCUGAGCAAUUAUAGUGAGUUUCUCCAGAAGCCCUCGUAAUCGUUCCUGCGUAGCAUGGGAGAUCAAGUUCAGAACAUCCGAAUUAACUUCCGUAAUGUCAUGCCUUUUACCUGUGGAGAUCAUCGUAUGGAGAAUAGAACGACCUCUACCAGGACAUAGAAGUCAGCCAUACAUGGUUAAACAGCUGUGGUUGUCUUUGGCCUUGGUGGCUUCAGUUGCAAUCACCAAGUUAUGAACAACCGGCCUGUCAAUCCCCAGCCAAGCAGCAUAGUCAGGGAGGAUCUACCUCUCUCUAUAGCAUAGCCCAAUCGUCUUCUGUAAGGCAUCUGAAGAAAGGAGAGGUUCCUCUGGACAAGACUGAAUAAGUGUGCCAACUGUUUCAGAAUUGGUUGCUAAAAUGCAUGCAUUCUCUUCGCUCAGAUUCACCCCAGCCAUACUAGUGAAGGCAACACACUAUGACAGUAUUUAAAUACAGCUUGGAGGAGCCCAGUGAAGAGGUAUGAUGCUGACUGAGCCAAUUUGUGAUUUGAACUGAUUUGAAGAGUGAGCAGGCUACAAGCACUUUGUAAAGGGCUGGAAGAAUUAGACAAGGAAGAUGACUCCCCCUCUCCUUUGCCUGUUUCUGGAAGGAUUUAGAGCACCUGCUUUGUGGCGGAGAUUUAUCAAGCAUGCCUUGGAACCAUUCUUGCCAGGCAGUUGGAACCUCCACUGGUAUGGAGAUGCUUGAAGCGACAUAAUUUUGUUUCCUGGCAGGGUAAUUUGUUUCACAAUAGAACCUAAAAGAUGAACAAUCCCACAGCAAUGAGCAAAAUCUAAGAUGACAUUCAAUACAUACUCUGAAGAAAAAUCUGUGAGCAUGUGUCCCAUUUUUAAAUGAAAGCGGCAUGUGUGUGUCAAAGUUACCAAUCCACUCUUCAGUUGCAUUGUCUGGAUGGCUCUUUUACUAGGACAAGGACAACUUUGCCUUUUUACUGGGGAGUGCUGAAGACGGUUGAGGGGUGGUUACUUUUUUCAAGAUGCUUCCAGAUGGCUGCUGGACUAUCUGGAAAAAAGUUACAUCAGAACAAACUAAAGGUAAACAUUAAAAAAACAGAGUGAAGCAACAUAAGCAAUCACAACUGCAAAGCACCCGUGCCUAUCUUUAAGAUAAACCACAUUUUCAUACAUUCAAAUACUUGAACUGUGGACAAGAAGUCUUUCAAUUCAAGUUUGUAGCUAAAAUUAACAUGUCCAAACAGCUUCAAAAUCUGACCAACACCUUGGCAACGUCAAGCAGCAGCAAACAUUUUACUCUACUGUGCUUUAGAUAAACAUUGCCUUUUAAUGGUGUUUUUAAAUUGCUAUUUUUUAACAAAUUUAUUGUUGGUGUAUUUGUGGUUUUGUUUUGUUUUAUAAUGAGACACAGUACAGUUUCUGUAGAAAGGCAGGACAUAUUGUAAUAUUUGUGCACUAUACAGUUUGUCCUCCUAGUGUCAGAUUAAAUCAAAGUGAAAUCACAGGGAACUACUGACAAGAUUCAAAAAAACAAGUAUUGGAAGCAGUUUUGCCUUGUUUCACAGUUACACUGUAGAUCUCCACUCUGUGUGUAUUUAGUAAUAAGAUUAUUUACAGUUCACAAGAUAAAGUUUAAAUCUAACUUUUCUCCUGCUGUUAUACCAACGAUUACCAAUAAAAUACUACUGUGGUGAA